Molecule: long non-coding RNA, 1062 nt
Organism: Astyanax mexicanus (Mexican tetra)
Lineage: Eukaryota; Metazoa; Chordata; Actinopteri; Characiformes; Acestrorhamphidae
Exons: 2
Source: RefSeq, a predicted model, not a curated record
ACCUCUUAUUACUCAACAUGUUCUCUUAUUAUAUCGCUGUGCAGCAGUGGUUCUCAAAGGUUUUCACACUAUGGUUCAUAUUAGGGGUGGGCGAUAUGGACUUAAAAUAAUAUCACAAUUUCAUGGAAUUUCGUGAUAACGAAAAAAUAGUUCAAGAAUAUUCUACUACACUACUGCUACAAACUGAAAAUUAAAAUUACAUUUUAUUAUUGCAUACUAUGAUAUUUUAGUAGAGAUAUUAAAAAAAUACAAGAAUUUUAUCAGAUUUGUAACAGAAGUCAAUAAUCCAGAAUAUGAUGAUACUAAUAGUAAUAAUAAUACACUCCAAAUAUCUCCAUAUAUGCAGGAUUAAAGUAAAAUAAAUGAUACUGGACAGAUAUAAUCUGUCUCUAGUAGAUAUAUAAUAGGAAAUGAGAACAGUGUGAAUUUUUCUUUUGAUAAAAACAGUACAAAACUUGCUUGCCUUAAUUAGUGUACUCAACAUAUAACCCCCUGCAAUAUACAAGAACUAAAGUUAGCAGAGUAAACAUUAGCGGCACGCUAGCUAACAUACUAACGUUAGUGGCAAGCUAGUUAAAGUCACUGGGGAGAGAAGUAAGGCUAGUGUAGAGCUAACUAACAUUAGUGGUGAGCUAGCCAAAGUUAACGGGGAGAGAACUAAGGUUAGCGUAAAGCUAGCUACCGUUACUGGGGAGAGAACUAUGGUUAGCGUAGAGCUAGCUGAAAUUAGAUGCAAGCUAGCUAACGUUACUGGGGACAGAACUAAGGUUAGCGUUGGGCUAGCUGAAAUUAGAUGCAAGCUAGCUAACGUUACUGGGGACAGAACUAAGAUUAGCGUAGAGCUAGCUGAAAUUAGAUGCAAGCUAGCUAACGUUACUGGGGAGAGAAGUAAGGUUAGUGUAGAGCUAACGAACUUUAGCGGAGAGCUAGCUAACGUUACUGGGGAAAGAACUAAGGUUAGCGUAGAACUAGCUGAAAUUAGAUGCAAGCUAGCUAACGUUUCUGGGGACAGAACUAAGGUUAGCAGAGUUAUCAUUAGUGGCGGGCUAGCUUACAUUAGCA